RNAcentral lists this ribosomal RNA (397 nucleotides) under uncultured bacterium. Its description in RNAcentral is "partial 16S ribosomal RNA". It matches the Rfam family "Bacterial small subunit ribosomal RNA", at positions 523 to 918 of the family's 1533-position model. The record is from RNAcentral.
AUACGUAGGCGGCAAGCGUUGUCCGGAAUUAUUGGGCGUAAAGCGCGCGCAGGCGGUCCUUUAAGUCUGAUGUGAAAGCCCACGGCUCAACCGUGGAGGGUCAUUGGAAACUGGGGGACUUGAGUGCAGAAGAGGAAAGUGGAAUUCCCAGUGUAGCGGUGAAAUGCGUAGAGAUUUGGAGGAACACCAGUGGCGAAGGCGACUUUCUGGUCUGUAACUGACGCUGAGGCGCGAAAGCGUGGGGAGCAAACAGGAUUAGAUACCCUGGUAGUCCACGCCGUAAACGAUGAGUGCUAAGUGUUAGGGGGUUUCCGCCCCUUAGUGCUGCAGCUAACGCAUUAAGCACUCCGCCUGGGGAGUACGGUCGCAAGACUGAAACUCAAAUGAAUUGACGGGG